RNAcentral lists this ribosomal RNA (483 nucleotides) under uncultured bacterium. RNAcentral's name for it is "partial 16S ribosomal RNA". It matches the Rfam family "Bacterial small subunit ribosomal RNA", at positions 30 to 507 of the family's 1533-position model. The record is from RNAcentral.
UUGAACGCUGGCGGCAGGCCUAACACAUGCAAGUCGAGCGGAUGAAGGGAGCUUGCUCCUGGAUUCAGCGGCGGACGGGUGAGUAAUGCCUAGGAAUCUGCCUGGUAGUGGGGGAUAACGUCCGGAAACGGGCGCUAAUGCCGCAUACGUCCUGAGGGAGAAAGUGGGGGAUCUUCGGACCUCACGCUAUCAGAUGAGCCUAGGUCGGAUUAGCUAGUUGGUGGGGUAAAGGCCUACCAAGGCGACGAUCCGUAACUGGUCUGAGAGGAUGAUCAGUCACACUGGAACUGAGACACGGUCCAGACUCCUACGGGAGGCAGCAGUGGGGAAUAUUGGACAAUGGGCGAAAGCCUGAUCCAGCCAUGCCGCGUGUGUGAAGAAGGUCUUCGGAUUGUAAAGCACUUUAAGUUGGGAGGAAGGGCAGUAAGUUAAUACCUUGCUGUUUUGACGUUACCAACAGAAUAAGCACCGGCUAACUUCGCG